Molecule: long non-coding RNA, 1917 nt
Organism: Macaca fascicularis (crab-eating macaque)
Lineage: Eukaryota; Metazoa; Chordata; Mammalia; Primates; Cercopithecidae
Source: Ensembl
UUUUUCUUUUUUUUUGUAGAUAAGGGGCCUUACCAUGUUGCCCAUGCUGGUAUCAAACUCCUGGGCUCAAGCAAUCCUCCCACCUCAGCCUCCUUCCCAACGCAUAAAUGGGGGUGACACCUCUGCGCAGUCCCCACUGUCUCCCUCAUUCUGUUUUACAACUACGGUCACAUAAAGUAACGCAGAGAGGCGAGCCCCGUUAUUCCCCCUUAAAACGUAGCCUGGAGCUUGCAGGACGCGGGCAGGUGGUAAAGAUUCAGAGGCCAAUUGAGAUCACACGAUUUUAAGCUAAUUCAGGUGAUUUUUAAGCUAAUCAAGGGCCCCUUUCACGCAGGUGACUUUAAACGAAUCGAGUUCUCCUUUCACAGAACUAAAAGGGGAGGUUAAUUUACACAAAUGCGCAGGCUACAGCCACCUGUCCUUCCUAGGGACUUCGGGCUGAAAAUGUCACCUCUCGCACCGUUAAUCCAAGCCCUGCAGGGCUGUUAGGAAGGGAAUUAGCAGCUGGGAUACCCCCAUCCUACAAUGAGGGGGGUUUAGCAAACCCUCCUGAAAUCCCAAGGCCACAGCUUCCUGCAGACGCUUAAGGAACAUGCCAAAUGCAACUGAUCUCCUGAAAAAUGCAAGCACUGCUGGUGAGGGCUGGGGUUCCGGGACGCUUUGCACACCACAGGUCACAGUUUGUGGGGGAGCUUCUCUGGGACCGGCUGACUCUUACCGUCCCCUGGACCCAGGGGGGCGCCGCUCGCAUCCUCCUGGCAUCUCCCAGGCCCCUGCCGCACUCACAGCUCCACCGCAGGGGCUCCCCAGGCUGGACUCAGACCCGCUGGAUCCCAUCCAGGCCCCAGUGUAGACUCCGAGACCCCUGGGAUGGACUCGAGGCCCCAAAGCAGACUUCAGGACCCUCAGAGCUGGACCUCCACCCUCCAAGGCAGCAUUCGGAACCCUCACGGCUGGACUCGAGGCCCAAGGCAGACAUGGGGACCCCUGGGAGGCGUCCGGGACCCCCAGGACAGGAUUCCAGCCCCCCGGCCAGACGUGGGGACUCCUGGGCGGUGUCCAGGACGCCUGGGGCUGGACCCAAGCCCCCAAGGCUAGAUGUGGGGGACCCCCAGGGCUGGACUCAAGCCCCCAAGGCAGACGAGGGGACCCACCUGGGCGGCGCCCGGGACCCCCCCAGAGCAGGUCUCCAGCCCCAGAGCAGAGGUGGGGACUCUGGCGGCGUCCGGGACCCCAGAGCAGGUCUCCAGCCCCCAGAACAGAGGUGGGGACUCCUGGGCGGCGUCCGGGACCCCCAGAGCAGGUCUCCAGCCCCCAGAGCAGAGGUGGGGACUCCUGGGCGGCGUCCGGGACCCCCAGAGCAGGUCUCCAGCCCCCAAGGCAGACGUGGGGACCCACCUGGGCGGUGUCUGGGACUCCCACGGGGGAACGCCAGUCUCCAAGGCAGACGUGAGGACCCCCGGGCGGCGUCCGGGACCCCCAGGGCUGCACUCGAGCCCCCAAAGCAGACAUGGGGCUCCCUGGGUGGCGUCCGGGACCCCCAGGGCUGGACUCAUGCCCCCAGGGCAGACGUGGGGACUCUGGCGGCGUCCGGGACCCCACGGCGGCACUCCAGGCUCCAGAGCAGACGUAGAGACCCCCGGGCGGUGUCCGGGACCCCAGGGCUGGACUCGAGCCCCCAAGGCAGACGUGGGGACCCCGGAGCGGCGUUCGGGAUCCCCGGAGAUUGAAGUCAAGCCCCCGAGGCGGCGUUCCGCACCCUCGCAAUCAGACUUGGACUCUACCCAGCGCGGAACGGGGUAGGACGGGAGCGGGAACGAGGCGGGUGAGGGCAGCGCCGCCGGGGCUGGGGGUCCUGGCGCCUACACGGCCGGCGGCUGCACCGGGCGCCGGGUCUGGCAGCAGCAGCCCACGCCU